AACGAACGCUGGCGGCAGGCCUAACACAUGCAAGUCGAGCGCACCUUCGGGUGAGCGGCGGACGGGUUAGUAACGCGUGGGAACGUACCUUACGGUAAGGAAUAGCCUUUGGAAACGAAGAGUAAUACCUUAUACGCCCUUCGGGGGAAAGAUUUAUCGCCGAAAGAUCGGCCCGCGUUAGAUUAGAUAGUUGGUGGGGUAAUGGCCUACCAAGUCUACGAUCUAUAGCUGGUUUUAGAGGAUGAUCAGCAACACUGGGACUGAGACACGGCCCAGACUCCUACGGGAGGCAGCAGUGGGGAAUCUUGGACAAUGGGCGAAAGCCUGAUCCAGCCAUGCCGCGUGAGUGAUGAAGGCCUUAGGGUCGUAAAGCUCUUUCGCCAGGGAUGAUAAUGACAGUACCUGGUAAAGAAACCCCGGCUAACUCCG
Molecule: ribosomal RNA, 429 nt
Filed under: uncultured Paracoccaceae bacterium
Lineage: Bacteria; Pseudomonadati; Pseudomonadota; Alphaproteobacteria; Rhodobacterales; Paracoccaceae
Description: bacterial SSU rRNA
Rfam family: Bacterial small subunit ribosomal RNA
Source: RNAcentral